UAUGUGAUCGUCUCUCGCAUAUCAAUAAGCGGAGGAAAAGAAACUAACAAGGAUUCCCCUAGUAACGGCGAGUGAAGCGGGAAGAGCUCAAAUUUGAAAUCUUAAAGGGUUUCCCUUUACGAAUUGUAGUUUAAAGAAGUGUUUUCUGUUGAGGUUUUGGUAAAAGUUCUUUGGAAUAGGACAUCAUAGAGGGUGAGAAUCCCGUAUUUGACCUUUACUUUCAACUUUGUGAUACACUUUCAAAGAGUCGGAUUGUUUGGGAAUGCAGUCCAAAAUGGGUGGUAAAUUUCAUCUAAAGCUAAAUAUUGGCGAGAGACCGAUAGCGAACAAGUACCGUGAGGGAAAGAUGAAAAGAACUUUGAAAAGAGAGUUAAACAGUACGUGAAAUUGUCAAAAGGGAAGCGUUUGACACCAGUGUUGUUUUUCUGAAAAUCAAUUAAAGAACUGUUUAUGCUAAGUUGUUUAGACUUUAUCAGCUAUCUGUUUAGUUUUGAGCUUUUCUUUAAUGCACUUUUCAGUUAACAAGUCAACAUCAAUUUCUUUUGCUGUAAAAAAGCUUGAGGAAGGUGGCUUGAGACUCGUCUUAAGUGUUUAUAGCCUCUUGCCUAUGCAGUCGGAGAGAUUGAGGUCUGCAGCGUAGAUCCUUCGGGGCUAAAUGCAUUUGUGCUAAGUUAUAGCAUUUUAUAGACAACUUGUUGACUAUGAUUUGUCUUGUAGCUUACUCGCUUAUGUUAUUUUACCUACGCUUAGGAUGUUGAACGCGCACAGAGUCUC
RNAcentral lists this ribosomal RNA (774 nucleotides) under uncultured Neocallimastigales. RNAcentral describes it as "partial large subunit ribosomal RNA". It matches the Rfam family "Eukaryotic large subunit ribosomal RNA", at positions 24 to 633 of the family's 3401-position model. Lineage: Eukaryota; Fungi; Neocallimastigomycota; Neocallimastigomycetes; Neocallimastigales. The record is from RNAcentral.